CAGUCGCCGCGGUAAUACGAAGGGUGCAAGCGUUACUCGGAAUUACUGGGCGUAAAGCGUGCGUAGGUGGUGGUUUAAGUCCGUUGUGAAAGCCCUGGGCUCAACCUGGGAAUUGCAGUGGAUACUGGGUCACUAGAGUGUGGUAGAGGAUAGUGGAAUUUCCGGUGUGCAGUGAAAUGCGUAGAGAUCGGAAGGAACAUCUGUGGCGAAGGCGACUAUCUGGGCCAACACUGACACUGAGGCACGAAAGCGUGGGGAGCAAACAGGAUUAGAUACCUCAGUAGUCCCUGUCUCUUAUACA
RNAcentral lists this ribosomal RNA (301 nucleotides) under uncultured bacterium. Its description in RNAcentral is "partial 16S ribosomal RNA". It matches the Rfam family "Bacterial small subunit ribosomal RNA", at positions 509 to 808 of the family's 1533-position model. The record is from RNAcentral.